CCUACGGGGGGCAGCAGUGGGGAAUUUUCCGCAAUGGGCGAAAGCCUGACGGAGCAAUACCGCGUGAGGGAUGACGGCCUAUGGGUUGUAAACCUCUUUUUUCAGGGAGGAAUCAAAUGACGUGUACCUGAAGAAUAAGCAUCGGCUAACUCCGUGCCAGCAGCCGCGGUAAGACGGGGGAUGCAAGUGUUAUCCGGAAUCACUGGGCGUAAAGCGUCUGUAGGUGGUCCAAUAAGUCAACUGUUAAAUCUUGGGGCUCAACCUCAAAAUCGCAGUCGAAACUAUUAGACUAGAGUAUAGUAGGGGUAAAGGGAAUUUCCAGUGGAGCGGUGAAAUGCGUAGAUAUUGGAAAGAACACCGAUGGCGAAGGCACUUUACUGGGCUAUUACUAACACUCAGAGACGAAAGCUAGGGUAGCAAAUGGGAUUAGAUACCCCGGUAGUC
This 444-nucleotide ribosomal RNA is filed under the name uncultured bacterium. RNAcentral describes it as "bacterial SSU rRNA". It matches the Rfam family "Bacterial small subunit ribosomal RNA", at positions 338 to 795 of the family's 1533-position model. The record is from RNAcentral.